AUUGAACGCUGGCGGCAGGCCUAACACAUGCAAGUCGAACGAGCGGCGGACGGGUGAGUAAUGUCUUGGAAACUGCCUGAUGUAGGGGGAUAACGACUGGAAACGGUAGCAAAUACCGCAUACCAUCCGAUUUGCCCAGAUGGGAUUGGCUAGUAGGUGGGGUAACGGCUCACCUAGGCGACGAUCUCUAGCUGGUCUGAGAGGUUGACCAGCCACACUGGAACGGAGACACGGUCCAGACUCCUACGGGAGGCAGCAGUGGGGAAUAUUGCACAAUGGACGCAAGCCUGAUGCAGCCAUGCCGCGUGUGUGAAGAAGGCCUUCGGGUUGUAAAGCACUUUCAGCGGGGAGGCGGUACCCGCAGAAAAAGCACCGGCUAACUCCGUGCCAGCAGCCGCGGUAAUAC
RNAcentral lists this ribosomal RNA (406 nucleotides) under uncultured bacterium. RNAcentral describes it as "partial 16S ribosomal RNA". It matches the Rfam family "Bacterial small subunit ribosomal RNA", at positions 30 to 526 of the family's 1533-position model. The record is from RNAcentral.